GUGAAGAACGUAGCGAAAUGCGAUAAGUAAUGUGAAUUGCAGAAUUCAGUGAAUCAUCGAAUCUUUGAACGCACAUUGCGCCCGCCAGUAUUCUGGCGGGCAUGCCUGUUCGAGCGUCAUUUCAACCAUCAAGCCCCCCGGCUUGUGUUGGGGACCUGCGGCUGCCGCAGGCCCUGAAAAGCAGUGGCGGGCUCGCUGUCACACCGAGCGUAGUAGAUCUCAUCUCGCUCAGGGCGUGCUGCGGGUUCCGGCCGUUAAACCACCUUCAUAACCCAAGGUUGACCUCGGAUCAGGUAGGAAGACCCGCUGAACUUAAGCAUAUCAAUAAGCGGAGGA
This 336-nucleotide unclassified non-coding RNA is filed under the name soil metagenome. Its description in RNAcentral is "partial contains 5.8S ribosomal RNA, internal transcribed spacer 2, and large subunit ribosomal RNA". The stretch from base 2 to 119 matches the Rfam family "5.8S ribosomal RNA", at positions 37 to 154 of the family's 154-position model. The record is from RNAcentral.